Molecule: ribosomal RNA, 397 nt
Filed under: uncultured bacterium
Lineage: Bacteria
Description: partial 16S ribosomal RNA
Rfam family: Bacterial small subunit ribosomal RNA
Source: RNAcentral
AUACGUAGGUGACAAGCGUUAUCCGGAUUUACUGGGCGUAAAGAGCUCGUAGGUGGUUUGUCGCGUCGUAUGUGAAAGCCCGCGGCUCAGCUGCGGGACUGCAUUGGAAACUGGUCAUCUGGAGUGCAGGAGGGGUACGCGGAAUUCCUAGUGUAGCGGUGAAAUGCGUAGAUAUUAGGAGGAACACCGGUGGCGAAGGCGGCUUACUGGACUGUAACUGACGUUGAGGCUCGAAAGCGUGGGGAGCAAACAGGAUUAGAUACCCGGGUAGUCCACACUGUAAACGAUGAAUGCUAGGUGUAGGGGGUAUCGACCCCUUCUGUGCCGCAGUCAACACAAUAAGCAUUCCGCCUGGGGAGUACGGCCGCAAGGUUGAAACUCAAAGGAAUUGACGGGG